AAUGAACGCUGGCGGUAUGCCUAAUACAUGCAAGUCGAACGGCCGCACAGUAAGAUCUCGCUCUUACUGUUGGCGAGUGACGGACGGGUGAGGAAUACAUCGGAAUCUACUUUGUCUUGGAUGAUAACGUAGAGAAACUGACGCUAAUACCGCAUACUACCUACGGCUUAAAUCAGAGGUGCUUCGGAGCUUGCGCGAUUGAAUGAGCCGAUGUCGGAUUAGCUAGUUGGUUUGGUAAAGGCCCACCAAGGCGACGAUGCGUAGCUGGGCUGAGAGGAUGAUCGGCCACACUGGAACUGAGACACGGUCCAGACUCCUACGGGAGGCAGCAGUGGGGAAUCUUGGACAAUGGGCGAAAGCCUGACCGAGCAAUGCCGCGUGGGUGAAGAAGGUCUUCGGGUUGUAAAGCCCUUUUGUUGGGAAAGAAAAGCAGUAGAUUAAAACGUCGAUAUUCUGACGGUACCCAAACAGAAAGCAACGGCUAACUACGUG
RNAcentral lists this ribosomal RNA (492 nucleotides) under uncultured bacterium. RNAcentral's name for it is "partial 16S ribosomal RNA". It matches the Rfam family "Bacterial small subunit ribosomal RNA", at positions 29 to 507 of the family's 1533-position model. The record is from RNAcentral.